This 252-nucleotide ribosomal RNA is filed under the name uncultured bacterium. RNAcentral describes it as "partial 16S ribosomal RNA". It matches the Rfam family "Bacterial small subunit ribosomal RNA", at positions 524 to 776 of the family's 1533-position model. The record is from RNAcentral.
UACGUAGGGGCAAGCGUUAUCCGGAAUUACUGGGUGUAAAGGGUACGUAGGCGGCCCAUUAAGUCAGAUGUGAAAGCCCGGAGCUCAACUCCGGGAUUGCAUUUGAAACUGGUGGGCUAGAGUACAGGAGAGGAGAGUGGAAUUCCUAGUGUAGCGGUGAAAUGCGUAGAUAUUAGGAAGAACACCAGUGGCGAAGGCGGCUUUAUGGACUGUAACUGACGCUGAGACGCGAAAGCGUGGGGAGCAAACAGG